AUGAGUGAUCUUUCAUGUUUUAUAACAAAAAAGUCUUUUUGUCCCAACAUUAUGUAUGCUUGUUUGAAUGACUGUAGUAUUUACUAGUUUCAUUGAGUUUUGCUAUUUUUAUGAGUAUUAGCAUAUUGUUCUAGCAGAAAGCCAUUAAGGGGGGUGUGAAAAAUAAUUUCUUUAUUUAUAUAAUGUAUGCUUGUUUUGAUGAAUAUUUUUUACUAGUAGUUUCAUUGAGU
RNAcentral lists this long non-coding RNA (230 nucleotides) under Nicotiana benthamiana. RNAcentral describes it as "long non-coding RNA (NBEN_LNC027980)". Lineage: Eukaryota; Viridiplantae; Streptophyta; Magnoliopsida; Solanales; Solanaceae. The record is from RNAcentral.